Molecule: long non-coding RNA, 1311 nt
Organism: Bombus impatiens (common eastern bumble bee)
Lineage: Eukaryota; Metazoa; Arthropoda; Insecta; Hymenoptera; Apidae
Exons: 2
Source: RefSeq, a predicted model, not a curated record
CCAAUAGUUCCAUUAAACUGCAUUGAUACCUACUUCCGCUAUCUCUCCACUUAUUUUUGUCCCCAACUGUAUAUUGACAUAAGUCUUCGAUCAACGACAAAUCAAAGUUUCCUGGACUCCGAGUAAGAGAAGUCACAGUAACAGACGAAACUUAAGGCACGUUCAUAAACCAGGCACAAUGGCCGACUGACGCAGUUGGAAAUUCAUAUUCUUCACGACGCGUCGCACUACCUAAGUCAUCGUAAAAGACAUCACGAAUUUGUCCGCACGUGGUCUAUACGAAAGGGAAAGAAAAGACAGAGGCAGAGGGCAGCCUACGCUUGCACGUCGUCGCUCAAGGUGACGCUCGUUGAAUAAUUCACAAGCGAAGCUUCGUAUACGUUCGACGUGGUUCGUGUAUACCUUACGUAGAUAGAUAGGUCGGAAAGAAGGUGGUAAGGGAUAUAAAUCGCUUUGCAUGUGAACAUGUACGCGAGAGAGUAGCUUGUGCUCGGUGGAACACAUCGGUAUGUCGGGUACCGUAACUCGACUGUUGCCAAUGACUCGGAUCGAAGCCAAAGCUCUCAGAUCCGUUGCUGGAAAAGCAGUUGAACCGUGGACCAUCGCAUUGGCUUUUACAUAAAUCAAACGCUGCAUUAUGACUGGGAAAUGUAUAAUAGAGAGCUGAAAAGAUGACAAGCAAAGGAAUGUGGGUCUGAUUGGUUAUUUCUUUGUAGACUCAGCACAAAACAGCAACGUAAAGAUAAACACGUGUAUUGACCGAAAGUGUCACAUAAAACAAUAUGGCAAGACGUAACUGACGAUGGGGCAGCCAUAAACUUAAAUGCCUCGCAAAUUCUAUCCGUGAAAAUAUCCGUGGUACGAGAAAAAUUCGACAAUAACGUUGCAACCGCUGCAGGUGUGUACCGUGCGAAGCAGUACCACUUCGCAAAGCUGUCUCUUCCCUUUCUACUUCUCCUUUCGAGUGCUGGCAUAAUCGCGCGCUGUUGGAAAACAUUUCAAACUCUUCAGUGUAGAUAUUCAAAGAAACUUUCAUCAAAAAUGACAAGCAUCUCUUGUGAACGGAUAUUCUAUCCGCCGGCAAAACAUUGUAAACUUUAUAAUAUUUAAAAUAACAUAUUACAAUAUGUGAAGAAAUUUGUAAAAACAGGGAGAAACAUAAAUGAGUCAUAUGAAAGCCACACUAAUAAAUAGACUGCGGAUUUCUAUGCAAUUUUAUACUUCUAUGAACGUAGUUGAAGAAAUGGAAUCUAAAUAGAAAUCUGCUUUUUAUUAAAUGUAUUUGUCAUCUACUAAAUGUUAUAACAAAUA